GCCUCGAUAGCUCAGUGGUAGAGCUCCUGUAUGUGGUGAACGGAAGCCCUUAGCAAUCAAACAAGGAGGCGCAGGUUCGAAUUUUGCCUGGUGGCU
Meloidogyne enterolobii is the source of this 96-nucleotide non-coding RNA. The record is from the annotation of a GenBank genome assembly. NCBI's taxonomy places the organism in Eukaryota, Metazoa, Nematoda, Chromadorea, Rhabditida, Meloidogynidae.